This is a long non-coding RNA of Lolium perenne, 1838 nucleotides long. RefSeq lists it as uncharacterized. Lineage: Eukaryota; Viridiplantae; Streptophyta; Magnoliopsida; Poales; Poaceae. The record is from RefSeq and is a predicted model, not a curated record.
UCUUCAACCUCCUGCCUGAGUUGGACACGAACACGAGACUGCUUACCGACUUGAAAAUCUCCAGAAAAUCGCAACGAUUCCGUUCAAAUUCGUGACCCCUACUCCACGAAAUCCCCUCUAUAUAAUUCCCCCCAUCAGCCCCACUCCGUUUUUCCAAAAAUCGCAAACCGUAGACCACCUGAGAGUUCUUUCCGAUCUCGCCGCAGUUCGUCGCUGCGAAUUUGAAGUCGAGGACCACAGGGACGAGCAAACGAGGACGCUGGAGUUUUGCCGGAGUUCGUCGCUUCCAGCCGGAGCUAGGCAUCGUUCGGGACUAGAAGAACUGCUGACGAAGACAGGAACGAGAUCUUCUGGUGGAGCCGCACCUCGUCGUCACCUUCAGAGUCGGAGGCCACCACACCGACGUCGCCAACCACGUCCAGCCGCCGCGUCCGUCGUUGUCCACCACCGAUUUAUUCGGAGUGCGCGAGAAAUUCACAAGGAAGAAAUCAUCAUCAAAUUAUACUAAGGCAAGUUACACCUUUGUUCAAAUUUUUGUCCCAAGUUUUCUAUGCAUGUCUUUUUCCUUCAAAUGAUUAGUAUGCAUGUGUAGGAUGUUUUGGUAGAUUUUACUUAAAUGUUUUACAAGUUCGCGUGCUAUUUUGUAGAUUGCCAUGAGUAGAAAUAUUUCCAUUUGAUAUCAUGGUCAUAGGAAUCCCUAAAUUUUUCAAAGUGCUAUGCUUAUGCUACAUAAAUAUUAAAAGGGGUUCGAAACAAGAAAAUUUUCUAAGUACUUGAGCUCUGUUUAUGAGCACUUUUCUCCCGAAAUCCUCCUUCAAAAUAAAACUAAGUUUUCUUCUGGGCGGAAUGGUUUUGACGGGACAACGAGUGUGGAGAUUGGUGGAGGACUGCCGCCCAGGAUCAAAGAAGUCUGCCACGUUCCAGAUGUCAGAAGCUUCCAGUGCAACCACAAUACAAUAUGGGCUCUGUCUUGGCUAAGUACUUAGUGGGAAACCUCACCUGGGUACCGCCAUUGGGAGGUAUUUUGGGCACGGGCGGAUCCGGAAGGUGGAGGGGCUACUAAGGAAAAGCUUCGCCGUGACCUCGUCCAGGCCUUAAUGAGGAUGAAGAAUUUUGGCGAAAAGGCUUGGUUGUGAAUUGUGGGUAAAGAGCGCAACCUCUCGAGAGUGUUAACCUGAUCGAUCAGCCGUGUCCACGGUAAAAGGACAAUUUGAGCAUCUGAAGUAUGGAGCCUCUGAAGGAUUUCCUCUCUCUUUUCAAAGGAGUUUUCAAAAUCCUAUGGCGUGUGUAAUAUCGUUCAUAGGUGGGUUUUUGGGGCCUUGGUGUGUAAUAUCCAAGUGCUCGGGACUUGGUGUGUAAUAUCCAAGUGUGGGACUUGGUGCGUCAUAUCCAAGUGUUAGGUUGAUUUGGACACUUGGUGUGUAAUAUCCAUGUGUUCCACUCGGCCAAUUUUAUUUAUCAAAAUUUUGCAAAGUAGGGUAAAAGAUUUUCUCUCUUUACUAAGUAAAAAUUGGCUUUACGCAAAUAAAAUCUCAAGCCUCCUCUUGUCUGCCUUGCAUGUAGAUAUAGGCCUUUUCCUCUUCUUGGUGUAAUUUGCCAUACAUUCAAAGUAUUGACCACUCUCGUGGCUGCAACCUUUUAUGUUGCAGGUUAUUCGACGACUUGUGAAAAUGCGUAGGUCGCGAGUCUACACUCAACGAGCCUGUGGCAUUGAUGGGACUCCAAUAUGUUAUUUUGUUUUCCGUUGUAUUGAGCUAGCCUUUGGCUAUGCAAGUUGUAAUUAUUUGUACUCUGGAUUAUUCGAAUCGUGUAAUAAAGACUUGUGUUUUACAUGAUUA